RNAcentral lists this ribosomal RNA (413 nucleotides) under uncultured Oceanospirillales bacterium. RNAcentral describes it as "bacterial SSU rRNA". It matches the Rfam family "Bacterial small subunit ribosomal RNA", at positions 31 to 448 of the family's 1533-position model. The record is from RNAcentral. Lineage: Bacteria; Pseudomonadati; Pseudomonadota; Gammaproteobacteria; Oceanospirillales.
GAACGCUGGCGGCAGGCCUAACACAUGCAAGUCGAGCGGUAACAGNNGUAGCUUGCUANNCGCUGACGAGCGGCGGACGGGUGAGUAAUGCAUAGGAAUCUGCCCGGUAGUGGGGGAUAACCUGGGGAAACCCAGGCUAAUACCGCAUACGUCCUACGGGAGAAAGGGGGCUUCGGCUCCCGCUAUUGGAUGAGCCUAUGUCGGAUUAGCUGGUUGGUGAGGUAANGGCUCACCAAGGCGACGAUCCGUAGCUGGUCUGAGAGGAUGAUCAGCCACAUCGGGACUGAGACACGGCCCGAACUCCUACGGGAGGCAGCAGUGGGGAAUAUUGGACAAUGGGGGCAACCCUGAUCCAGCCAUGCCGCGUGUGUGAAGAAGGCCCUCGGGUUGUAAAGCACUUUCAGCGAGGAAGA